RNAcentral lists this ribosomal RNA (119 nucleotides) under Amphilophus citrinellus (Midas cichlid). The record is from RNAcentral. Lineage: Eukaryota; Metazoa; Chordata; Actinopteri; Cichliformes; Cichlidae.
AUAUACAGCCAUACCACCCCGAACACGCCUGAUCUUGUCUGAUCUUAGAAGCUAAGCAGGGUCAGGCCUGGUUAGUAUUUGGAUGGGAGACCGCCUGGGAAUACCAGGUGCUGUAAACU